CCCGUCGUAGCUCAGCGGUAGAGCGCCCGGCUGUAGAUGGAGGGCGGUAACCGGGUGGUCCGGGGUUCGAAAGGUUGACUACUCCACCCGAAGAUCCCCGCGACGGGA
This 108-nucleotide transfer RNA is filed under the name Sulfolobales archaeon HS-7. RNAcentral describes it as "tRNA-Tyr". It matches the Rfam family "tRNA". From Rfam's summary of the family: Transfer RNA (tRNA) molecules are approximately 80 nucleotides in length. Their secondary structure includes four short double-helical elements and three loops (D, anti-codon, and T loops). Further hydrogen bonds mediate the characteristic L-shaped molecular structure. tRNAs have two regions of fundamental functional importance: the anti-codon, which is responsible for specific mRNA codon recognition, and the 3' end, to which the tRNAs corresponding amino acid is attached (by aminoacyl-tRNA synthetases). tRNAs cope with the degeneracy of the genetic code in two manners: having more than one tRNA (with a specific anti-codon) for a particular amino acid; and 'wobble' base-pairing, i.e. permitting non-standard base-pairing at the 3rd anti-codon position. The record is from RNAcentral. Lineage: Archaea; Thermoproteati; Thermoproteota; Thermoprotei; Sulfolobales.